GGAAAGCGGAGCAUCCGGGACGCGGCGGGACUCUAGUGUCUCGGAAAAGGAGCGUUUCCCCAGGCGGUGGUUGUCUUCACUAGCGGUAGGGUAAAAGGAGGGCGCAGUACCUGGUUCAACUUGAGCAGACGGAGUCUCGCUCUGUUACCCAGGCUGGAGUGCAGUGGGGCAAUCAUGGCUCACUGCAAGCUCCGCCUCCCGGGUUCACGCCAUUCUCCUGCCUCAGCCUCCUGAGUAGCUGGGACCAUAAGCGCCGCCACCACGCCUAGCUAAUUUUUUGUAUUUUUAGUAGAGACAGGGUUUCACCGUGUUAGCCAGGAUGGUCUCGAUCUCCUGACCUCGUGAUCCGCCUGCCUCGGCCUCCCAAAGUGCUGGGAUUACAGGCGUGAGCCACCGUGCCCGGCCAAACAUGAAUAUGUUAAUUUAGGCAAAUGGCAAAUGAAUGUCCGUGGGAAUGAUCUUCAAAGAGAAUUAAAAUGGGAUAGAGAAAUCAUCUAGCUGCACCUGUGUCUGAACCAGAGCGGCCAGGCACUCCCAUGUCAGCUAGUUACUGGAGCAGGUGGAGUAAGGAGUGCCCCUGGGCUUCUGCCCAGAAACCACCACGGCUACUUCAAAACAAUAUUUAAUUUUCCUGCUUGUUCUUGAGAAGCGCUGGUUUCAAAAAUUGGAUGGGGUGAUACAUGCUUGAAUUAGUAUUUACAAGGCUCCUAAUCACUUCAUCAGACAGAUAAUUCAUUGAGCACCAGCUGGGUGCCAGGCAGUGUCUGAGGCACUUCUAGCCAUUAUUUCCCAAGGGUUCCAGCAGCCCAUGGAUACACUUCAAAGGGUGUAAGCUCCUAAAAAUUGUUCGUAAUUAUUUUCUGCACGUUUUUGUAGUUUGGGGGAAGAGAGUUUACGGAGUUCUUGCAAGUCUCAGAAUUAUUUGAUCCCUUUGGGAAUGAGCAUCUCUAGUCUCUGCCUGUCCAUCUGGGACGCUCUGGGACACUCUGCACCUCAGUGUGGGCCGGCUGCUUCAGGUCAGUAGGUAUCAGAAUGACCUCGGUUGGAUGGGGCGGUUCAGGACCCCGGCCUCCUUUUAGUCUGGACCCCACUCUCAUUCCUCAUAUUCUCGAUUCUCUCUUUCUACUGAGUUACUAUCUUAGUAAUGACAAUGCCUCCUGUCAUGUAGAGACUUGGUCUGAUAAAAUGCAUUCACAUACAACUGCUCAUUUUGAUUUCUGUAACUGGGGAACACAGAAAGCACAUGUGGGGUGCAUUGAAGGAUGUCUCCAUUACCCCAGAUAACUCCAAAAUCCUUCACCUAGUUACUAGUGCAGGAAAUUCAUUCUAAGGCAGAAAUGGAAAAUGAGUAAGAAACAAUUUGGAUGUGUUCUAAAAGUGGAGAGAGUUGUCAGGCGCUAUAUUAUACAACCUGAAAUAGCAAUGGUGAAGUAGACAGUUCACCUCCACAGGGGGCGGAAACAGGUUGGACCCAGGGCAAUGGAUGUUUUGUAUGAGUGGUUAACCAGUCUGUGGCCAUGAGGUGGAAAGCUGUGUACACCUGUGAAGCCAUCAUCACAAUCAAGUUAGGGAACAUAUCCAUCACCCAAAAAAGUGUUCUCAUUCCCUUUGGUAAUUCCUCCCUCCUAAACGUCCCCACCGUACCCCACAUCCCAGUCCCCAUGCAAAACCGCUGACCAGCUUUCUAUCACGAUAGAUUUGUUUGCAUUUUCUAGACUUUUAUAUAAAAAGAAUUAUACUUUAUGCACACUUUUUUGUCUUUUUUUUCACUUAACAUAUUUUCAGAAUCAUCUAUCUUGUUGCAGGUGUAUUCUUUUUAUUGCUCAGUAGUAUUCCACUGUGUGGAUAUAACACAAUUUGUUUAUCAUUCACCUGUUGAGGGACAUUUUACUUGCUGCUAAAUUUUUACUAUUACAAAUAAAGCUGCCAUAGGCAUUCA
Piliocolobus tephrosceles (Ugandan red Colobus) is the source of this 1939-nucleotide long non-coding RNA. RefSeq lists it as uncharacterized. The record is from RefSeq and is a predicted model, not a curated record. The transcript has 2 exons. Lineage: Eukaryota; Metazoa; Chordata; Mammalia; Primates; Cercopithecidae.